GAAAACCAUUAAAACUUUCAACAACGGAUCUCUUGGCUCUGGCAUCGAUGAAGAACGCAGCGAAAUGCGAUAAGUAAUGCGAAUUGCAGAUUUCAGUGAAUCAUCGAAUCUUUGAACGCACAUUGCGCCCGCCAGUAUUCUGGCGGGCAUGCCUGUUC
Molecule: ribosomal RNA, 158 nt
Filed under: Campylocarpon pseudofasciculare
Lineage: Eukaryota; Fungi; Ascomycota; Sordariomycetes; Hypocreales; Nectriaceae
Description: 5.8S ribosomal RNA
Rfam family: 5.8S ribosomal RNA
About the family: 5.8S ribosomal RNA (5.8S rRNA) is a component of the large subunit of the eukaryotic ribosome. It is transcribed by RNA polymerase I as part of the 45S precursor that also contains 18S and 28S rRNA.
Source: RNAcentral